UUGUAGUGAAUCUUGGGUCAUUGUGCAUUACAGAUAAAUAUAAUAAAUAAAUCAAGAUAUUCAUGCCAUAUGCAAAUUGCUAUUGCAUCUUGAUAGUUCUGAAUCAUAUAUUUUGGACUGUCAGUAAAAUUUAAUGAUAAUAUGAUUUUUUUUCUAGUUAUAUUUCCAUCAACAUCACCAUGAAUCACUACAUCUUUAAUUCCUUGAUAAAUUUUUAAUCAUAAAACUUUCUGAUUUCUUCUGAUAUAAUUCAAUCUCUCUUCUUCGAUAUAUGAGAAUGCUCCAGCU
This 288-nucleotide long non-coding RNA is filed under the name Elaeis guineensis (African oil palm). Its description in RNAcentral is "long non-coding RNA (EGUI_LNC024739)". The record is from RNAcentral. Lineage: Eukaryota; Viridiplantae; Streptophyta; Magnoliopsida; Arecales; Arecaceae.